Molecule: ribosomal RNA, 2528 nt
Filed under: Escherichia coli
Lineage: Bacteria; Pseudomonadati; Pseudomonadota; Gammaproteobacteria; Enterobacterales; Enterobacteriaceae
Description: partial 23S ribosomal RNA
Rfam family: Bacterial large subunit ribosomal RNA
Source: RNAcentral
CGGGACACGUGGUAUCCUGUCUGAAUAUGGGGGGACCAUCCUCCAAGGCUAAAUACUCCUGACUGACCGAUAGUGAACCAGUACCGUGAGGGAAAGGCGAAAAGAACCCCGGCGAGGGGAGUGAAAAAGAACCUGAAACCGUGUACGUACAAGCAGUGGGAGCCUCUUUAUGGGGUGACUGCGUACCUUUUGUAUAAUGGGUCAGCGACUUAUAUUCUGUAGCAAGGUUAACCGAAUAGGGGAGCCGAAGGGAAACCGAGUCUUAACUGGGCGUUAAGUUGCAGGGUAUAGACCCGAAACCCGGUGAUCUAGCCAUGGGCAGGUUGAAGGUUGGGUAACACUAACUGGAGGACCGAACCGACUAAUGUUGAAAAAUUAGCGGAUGACUUGUGGCUGGGGGUGAAAGGCCAAUCAAACCGGGAGAUAGCUGGUUCUCCCCGAAAGCUAUUUAGGUAGCGCCUCGUGAAUUCAUCUCCGGGGGUAGAGCACUGUUUCGGCAAGGGGGUCAUCCCGACUUACCAACCCGAUGCAAACUGCGAAUACCGGAGAAUGUUAUCACGGGAGACACACGGCGGGUGCUAACGUCCGUCGUGAAGAGGGAAACAACCCAGACCGCCAGCUAAGGUCCCAAAGUCAUGGUUAAGUGGGAAACGAUGUGGGAAGGCCCAGACAGCCAGGAUGUUGGCUUAGAAGCAGCCAUCAUUUAAAGAAAGCGUAAUAGCUCACUGGUCGAGUCGGCCUGCGCGGAAGAUGUAACGGGGCUAAACCAUGCACCGAAGCUGCGGCAGCGACGCUUAUGCGUUGUUGGGUAGGGGAGCGUUCUGUAAGCCUGCGAAGGUGUGCUGUGAGGCAUGCUGGAGGUAUCAGAAGUGCGAAUGCUGACAUAAGUAACGAUAAAGCGGGUGAAAAGCCCGCUCGCCGGAAGACCAAGGGUUCCUGUCCAACGUUAAUCGGGGCAGGGUGAGUCGACCCCUAAGGCGAGGCCGAAAGGCGUAGUCGAUGGGAAACAGGUUAAUAUUCCUGUACUUGGUGUUACUGCGAAGGGGGGACGGAGAAGGCUAUGUUGGCCGGGCGACGGUUGUCCCGGUUUAAGCGUGUAGGCUGGUUUUCCAGGCAAAUCCGGAAAAUCAAGGCUGAGGCGUGAUGACGAGGCACUACGGUGCUGAAGCAACAAAUGCCCUGCUUCCAGGAAAAGCCUCUAAGCAUCAGGUAACAUCAAAUCGUACCCCAAACCGACACAGGUGGUCAGGUAGAGAAUACCAAGGCGCUUGAGAGAACUCGGGUGAAGGAACUAGGCAAAAUGGUGCCGUAACUUCGGGAGAAGGCACGCUGAUAUGUAGGUGAAGCGACUUGCUCGUGGAGCUGAAAUCAGUCGAAGAUACCAGCUGGCUGCAACUGUUUAUUAAAAACACAGCACUGUGCAAACACGAAAGUGGACGUAUACGGUGUGACGCCUGCCCGGUGCCGGAAGGUUAAUUGAUGGGGUUAGCGGUAACGCGAAGCUCUUGAUCGAAGCCCCGGUAAACGGCGGCCGUAACUAUAACGGUCCUAAGGUAGCGAAAUUCCUUGUCGGGUAAGUUCCGACCUGCACGAAUGGCGUAAUGAUGGCCAGGCUGUCUCCACCCGAGACUCAGUGAAAUUGAACUCGCUGUGAAGAUGCAGUGUACCCGCGGCAAGACGGAAAGACCCCGUGAACCUUUACUAUAGCUUGACACUGAACAUUGAGCCUUGAUGUGUAGGAUAGGUGGGAGGCUUUGAAGUGUGGACGCCAGUCUGCAUGGAGCCGACCUUGAAAUACCACCCUUUAAUGUUUGAUGUUCUAACGUUGGCCCCUGAUCGGGGUUGCGGACAGUGUCUGGUGGGUAGUUUGACUGGGGCGGUCUCCUCCUAAAGAGUAACGGAGGAGCACGAAGGUUGGCUAAUCCUGGUCGGACAUCAGGAGGUUAGUGCAAUGGCAUAAGCCAGCUUGACUGCGAGCGUGACGGCGCGAGCAGGUGCGAAAGCAGGUCAUAGUGAUCCGGUGGUUCUGAAUGGAAGGGCCAUCGCUCAACGGAUAAAAGGUACUCCGGGGAUAACAGGCUGAUACCGCCCAAGAGUUCAUAUCGACGGCGGUGUUUGGCACCUCGAUGUCGGCUCAUCACAUCCUGGGGCUGAAGUAGGUCCCAAGGGUAUGGCUGUUCGCCAUUUAAAGUGGUACGCGAGCUGGGUUUAGAACGUCGUGAGACAGUUCGGUCCCUAUCUGCCGUGGGCGCUGGAGAACUGAGGGGGGCUGCUCCUAGUACGAGAGGACCGGAGUGGACGCAUCACUGGUGUUCGGGUUGUCAUGCCAAUGGCACUGCCCGGUAGCUAAAUGCGGAAGAGAUAAGUGCUGAAAGCAUCUAAGCACGAAACUUGCCCCGAGAUGAGUUCUCCCUGAGACUUUAAGUCUCCUGAAGGAACGUUGAAGACGACGACGUUGAUAGGCCGGGUGUGUAAGCGCAGCGAUGCGUUGAGCUAACCGGUACUAAUGAACCGUGAGGCUUAACCUU